This 437-nucleotide ribosomal RNA is filed under the name uncultured bacterium. RNAcentral's name for it is "bacterial SSU rRNA". It matches the Rfam family "Bacterial small subunit ribosomal RNA", at positions 958 to 1392 of the family's 1533-position model. The record is from RNAcentral.
AACGCGAAGAACCUUACCAGGUCUUGACAUCCCUCUGAUCGAAGAACAGAGAUGUAUCUUUCCUUCGGGACAGAGGAGACAGGUGGUGCAUGGUUGUCGUCAGCUCGUGUCGUGAGAUGUUGGGUUAAGUCCCGCAACGAGCGCAACCCUUAUAUUUAGUUGCCAGCACUUCGGGUGGGCACUCUAGAUAGACUGCCGGUGACAAACCGGAGGAAGGUGGGGAUGACGUCAAAUCAUCAUGCCCCUUAUGACCUGGGCUACACACGUACUACAAUGGCCGGUACAACGGGCUGCGAAAUCGCGAGAUGGAGCCAAUCCCAACAAAGCCGGUCUCAGUUCGGAUUGCAGGCUGCAACUCGCCUGCAUGAAGUCGGAAUUGCUAGUAAUCGCGGAUCAGCAUGCCUCGGUGAAUACGUUCCGGGGUCUUGUACACACCG